This is a long non-coding RNA of Prosopis cineraria, 1631 nucleotides long. RefSeq lists it as uncharacterized. The transcript is spliced from 7 exons. Lineage: Eukaryota; Viridiplantae; Streptophyta; Magnoliopsida; Fabales; Fabaceae. The record is from RefSeq and is a predicted model, not a curated record.
UGUACAUAUUAAAAAAUGGAAAAGAAGAACAAAUGGAUGGAAGACACAUUUGUUUUUCUUAAUUAACAAGACUGACAUAUAUUGUUGCCUCAAACUAUCAUAAUUUCAUGCCUUUAAUUCACUUAUCCUGUUCUUUGUUAAUUGUUUGCUCCUCUUCCACACCCCCCCAACAAAAAAAAAAAAAUGAUGCAGAUGCAUUUUGAUGAAGGGUUGUCUGCUAGACACAAAGGUGGUGACUCUACCAGGCUUGUAACAAAAGGUCUAAGAGGGAAAAGUGCCUCAGAGAAGCUCUCUGAGGAAGGUCUUGUCAAAUUUUCUGCACGGGUAUCAAUCCAGGUUGAAGUUGUUAAAUCCUUCAACGAUCCAGAAGGCCCACAGUGGAAAAAUUCCCUUUUUGGGAUCCAAAUGACUUAGAAACUUUCAGGCGAAGGUGUAAGAUUGCAGAGAUUCUUGUGGAAAAGAAUUUUGAUUUGGCGUUCCAAGUGAUCUAUGAAUUCAAUCUUCCUCUGUUGACAUAUAUGCUAGUGUUGCUGCAUCUCUUGCUGAAAGAAAAGAGGCAGCCAGUUGACAGAAUUCUUCAAAAACAUUAAGGGCACAAUAGAUGACGAUGAUUGGGACCAGGUCUUGGGUGCUGCAAUAAAUGUAUAUGCUAACAAGCACAAAGAACGUCCAGACCGUCUAAUAGACAUGUUAACUAGCAGCCACAGGAAGGUUCUUGCUUGUGUGGUCUGUGGUCGUCUAAAAAGUGCAUUUCAAAUUGCUUCUCGGAGUGGAAGUGUGGCUGAUGUUCAAUAUGUUGCUCAUCAGGCACUUCAUGCAAGUGCACUCCCGGUGCUUGAUAUGUGUAAGCAAUGGUUAGCUCAGUAUAUGUAAUAUAUGGCUGGGGGAAUUCACAUGUACUGUGGGCCUGCCUCUGCGCAUCUUCUGGUUAUGCGCUUGAUGUUUGAAGGUUAUAAGUUGAAUAAUAGCUUCUCAUGAGGAAAGCAAAGCGUACCUAAUACGGCUGCAAAAUCACGGUUGUCUCCCCCCCCCCCCCCACAAAACGAAAAAGCAUUGUAUAUCUGGUUGAGGUAUACAGACUUCAAGCUAGAUCCUAAAGACGGAUGUCGCUGCCUGCUAUCAGUCCAUAACCGAGUUGGAGAGCCUAGCAGCGAUUACACUAUCACAAGGUUCAGCCAAAGUAAUAAUUUGAUGGAGAUUCUGAGACUGGGACCACCUGAUUGUCAAAGACGAUGGUACUUGGAAUUUAUGAGGCACCAUAUGUAAAUUUGCUGCUAUUAGUCACGUGAUUUUAACACACAAUGUUUAUUUUAGGAUUUAAUUUAAAUCAGUUUAUUAGGAUAGCAUAGAAUGACAUCUUGCAAUUCAUAAGACCAAUCCCACUUAGAGGAAUAAGGUUUAUUGUCGUCGUCGUUAUUGUUAGGAUAUUCAGGUAGAUUUUCAGGGAUUGGUGUCACAACUCCCUUGCUGUCGUGUGUGCCUGUGUGUUCAACGCUGCUUCAGUGAAAAGCAAGCAGACAGAUCGAAAUUAAAUUCAUAUGGCAUCAGAAUCAUAAAAUGAUUGCAUUCUGUGGCUAAGUAAUAGCUUGAGUCGAAAAGCAAUUUAAUUAAAAUACAUGGAUUUGGCAGAA